This is an RNA transcript of Haliaeetus leucocephalus (bald eagle), 3565 nucleotides long. It is a transcript of the gene named Ras-related GTP binding B, with no coding region annotated. Lineage: Eukaryota; Metazoa; Chordata; Aves; Accipitriformes; Accipitridae. The record is from RefSeq and is a predicted model, not a curated record. The transcript has 10 exons.
AGGCCGGUGGUCGGUGCUGGGUGCCGGUGCGGGCCGGCGGCGGGGAGCGGGGGGUGUGGACAUGUGACGCCGCGGUCAUGGGUUGCUUGGUGCGGGCUCCGGAGCAUCCCGGGGGGAAGGGGUAGGAGUAGGGACUGCGGGUGGGGCCGGCCCUGGCUGUCGUGGGCGAGGAGCCCCGAGCGGCCCGGGAGCUGUGCGGGUGUCUCCCGCUGCCUUCCAGCGCUGGCCGCGUUUAUCCUGCUUAGGCCUGUUUCGGCCGUGUAAUUACGGGAACGUUGUUCGUCAUGGGCGUGUUGGAGGGUUUUGCUAAAGUUUCCCUAGGCCGUCUGGAGCAGAAGCUGUCAAGUGCCUGGUGAGGUGGAGGUUGGGGGGAAUUAUGUCAGUGUGGGAGCGCUUCCCCUUUUGCACGGUGCUUCUGUGGGUGGGAUUUGGACGUUGAAGUGAAGCCUCUAAGUGAGGAAAGUAGAGCAAUGUAAGAAGAUGGUCUUCUCUCUGUAGGUGGGUGAUGCCAAGCACAGCCAUGAAGAAAAAGGUGCUGCUGAUGGGUAAAAGUGGGUCUGGGAAGACCAGCAUGAGGUCCAUUAUCUUUGCAAACUACAUCGCCAGGGACACACGGCGCCUGGGUGCCACAAUUGAUGUGGAGCACUCCCAUGUUAGAUUUCUAGGAAACCUGGUAUUAAACCUCUGGGACUGCGGAGGACAGGACACCUUUAUGGAGAACUACUUCACCAGUCAGCGGGACAACAUCUUCCGCAACGUAGAAGUCCUCAUCUAUGUCUUUGAUGUAGAGAGCCGUGAACUGGAGAAGGACAUGCACUACUACCAGUCAUGCUUGGAGGCAAUUCUUCAGAACUCUCCUGAUGCAAAGAUCUUCUGUCUAGUGCACAAGAUGGACUUGGUGCAGGAGGAUCAGCGUGAUUUGAUUUUUAAAGAGCGUGAGGAAGACUUGAAGCGCCUUUCCCGUCCCUUGGAAUGUGUUUGUUUUAGAACUUCCAUCUGGGAUGAAACACUUUACAAGGCAUGGUCCAGUAUAGUCUAUCAGCUGAUCCCCAAUGUCCAGCAGCUGGAAAUGAACCUGAGGAACUUUGCUCAGAUCAUCGAGGCAGAUGAAGUGCUUCUGUUUGAGAGAGCCACUUUCCUGGUCAUUUCUCACUAUCAGUGCAAAGAACAGCGGGAUGUCCACAGAUUUGAGAAAAUCAGCAACAUUAUUAAACAAUUCAAGCUAAGUUGCAGUAAGCUGGCAGCUUCUUUCCAGAGCAUGGAGGUCAGGAACUCUAACUUUGCUGCUUUCAUUGACAUCUUUACAUCAAAUACAUAUGUGAUGGUGGUGAUGUCAGACCCCUCAAUACCUUCUGCAGCUACGCUGAUAAACAUCCGCAAUGCCAGAAAACACUUUGAGAAGCUGGAGAGAGUGGAUGGACCAAAGCACAGCCUGCUCAUGCGCUGAACGCUGGCCAAGGCACACGGUCUUUGGGGGGAGAAAAAAUGAAUUGGAACUACUUAUUUUUAGGAGAAUCUAACAAUGUUGAUGUCUUUGUUGGGCUUUGAAAUGAGUGUGCUGCUUUAUUUUUUCUCCUUUUAACGUUGGACACUAGUCACUCGGAGGAUGUCUGGAUACACUGCGGACCUUCAAAAGAGACUUCCCUGGCGUAUGUGGGGUUGGGAAGAAGUAAGGACAGGUGAUGUGCACGUGAUCUCGUACUCCUGGUUGUCAUGGUGGCACAUGGCAGAGCCGUUUUGGAUGUUUUGCUCCCGGGUGAUCGUAUAAGUCACAGGAAUGGAAUAUUUACUGUUUUAUUGGUUGGUUGCUAGAAUACGUUUAUAAAUUUCUCCUUGUCUUCAGUCAUGAAAAUAAAUUUUUGCUACCAGGGAUUUCAAAUCCUAGAGCUUUGGAAAGUGGGUUUUCUUUCUUCUAAAACCUAGGGCAGCUUUGGCAAGCUGCAUUUCUCCUUCCACGGUAUUGGGAGGUCAUUGAAGGCCAUUCCAGAGUUUCAUUUAAGAUAAUUUCCCCCGCUCCAGCCUGACGUGGAGGCAAAAUGCACUCAGCGGGUGAAGCAGUCAGGCUGGCAUUGGCCUCUUGACACUUGCCAAAGUGAUGGAAAGACCAUGGUAAAUAAAAGGGGCCAAAGACCCUAGUUGACCAAGCAGCGAGAUGGUCCUGGCAUGCCUGGUCUUCAUCCUCGUGAUCCAGGAGGGGCUGGCAUGGGCACAGAGGAGCCCCAGAACGUGUGAUGGGUGGUGUGUGCAUGAGCUAUAUUAGCUGUGUUUGCGAUGAGCCAGUUGGACAGUGUUUGGCACCGAUGUUACUUGACGCUACUGUCUAUUUUUUUAAUGAAUUUUUUGUGUGCAUUUCCAUUAAACAUGGGAACAACAAAAGCAGUGUGAGUUAGGGGAAUCUCUGGCUUGCUGGGUGGGAGCUGAUGCUUGCCAGCAUCUCUCUUGCUGCAUCGAAUUACUAUAUAAAAAAGGGUGUGGUGACUCUGAGCCUAGCUCUCCGCUUUGUAUUCUCAAAAUCAUGCUUUUCCCCCCUGUAUCCCUGCCCACACACGCACUGGGGAGGGUGGGAAAAAUCUGAUGGGGUGAGCCCGUUACAUGAGAACGGGGAGCUAAAGGGCACCUCUCGGCUGGAGAGCUGAGGGUGGGCUCCGCACAAAGUCUUCCAUCAAUUCCCAAUCUUUACGGCAUUAAACACCCGUGUCUUGCACCGCCUGCUCAGCAGAUGCGUUGGUGCUCUGUCAGGCUGGGUGUGUUUUCAGUGAGAAUCCUCAAGUCAGCAUCCCCGUGGGAGAGGAACUUGCCGAGAUUCCUAUUAACGAUUUGGGUGCUGGAGUUUCUGGAGAGCUUGGAAACGGGCUGGAGAUGCAGCAGAGGGUUUCCAUUUGUCUUUGGUGCUUGCAGGUGUGGAAUACGGUCCCGGUCCUGGAGCGGGAAUAGCAAAUCUUGCCCAUGGUCACUUUUGUCUGACGUUGGGCUGGAGCAAGCUGAAAUGUGACUCCAGUUCCCUCUUGCGGAUGCUGCCCCACCACUUGGACAAGGUCAGUCCCUGCUUUUGCUCUGGUACAGCGGAGAAACUUCAUGGCUUUCUGCACUCAAACCCUGCCCUCAGUGCUGUUGAGCAGAGCAAGAGGAUGAGUCUCUGCUGAUCCAUAUGUUGUCGGAGCCUUGGGAACAUCACCUCUGAGGGAUUACUGGGAAGGGCUCUGCUUGCUGGAGAUGGGCAGCUGUUGUGGCUUCAGGAGAGCAGAAGAUGGUUUAUGGCCACAAUUCUGGUGCAGAUUGAAGCACCUUCUGCUGCAACAGAGAUGCUGCUGGCGUUGCUCUGUGUGCAUGCUGUCAGGCGACUGCCCUUGACAUUGCUGAGCAGCAAGGCUUGGUGGAUCAGGCUCCAGCACCUUUGCCCUACCUUCUGGAAGACUUAGCCCCUUACUCUGGUGGCUCUAUCAAAAAAAAAAACAAAACUAAACAACUUGAUGCCUGCUCCAGAUGUUGCUUUUACAAACAUACUCAUGUGCGAGUCUGGCCCCAAAGAGCCAAACCGUACAAUCUCAAUGAGAUGGCAGAGGUC